RNAcentral lists this long non-coding RNA (7305 nucleotides) under Citrus sinensis (sweet orange). Its description in RNAcentral is "long non-coding RNA (CSIN_LNC001667)". Lineage: Eukaryota; Viridiplantae; Streptophyta; Magnoliopsida; Sapindales; Rutaceae. The record is from RNAcentral.
CAAAUCAAACAUAAAGUAAAAGCAAACACAAUAAGUCAGUGAAUAACCUAAACAACAAUGUGACCCAACAUAUAUACAGGGAGCAAGCGGAUAAAGGAAUAACUAUGGCAGAGGUAGAUGCUGCUCAUAUAUACUACACUUGAAAAGCCAGUGGUUGCAAGAUGAUUCCUUAGUUUCAUAUAGACAAAUUUACCCAUGUUCUUGUAACUGUCUAGCAGAUACAAAAGCAUGCUUAUUUAGGGAAAAAAAGUUCACCGCACCUCCCCACUUCUCUGGGUCCUGAAUCCAAGAACAAUACUCUUGAUUUGACUUCCCAAUAAAUGCCUCAGAAUGUUUUACCGUAUCACUUGCUACUGUUGCUGCUAUAGCCUUCAAAAGAUGAUCGAUCACAAUGUUCAGAAAAUUAAUAAAUAACAGAGGCAAUAAAUAAUGUCAUUUAUGAAUACAAACUUGCCUAUGAAAAUAUAUGGUUGUCACUCUCAUGCCUGGCAAUAAUGAAAAUUUGAUCUACAUACUUCAAUUGCUGUUAAACAUUUAAAAACCUAUAUAAAGUGUACUUGAAUGAACAUUCACAUAAAACUAUUUUCAGUUGAAAGCAUAAACUUUUCGAAACGAUACUGGGUAAGAAAUAAAGCAGAGGAAAUUUUAGUUUCAAAAAUGACAUUAAUUUUCUUUCUUCAUUUGGAAUUCAAAAAUAGCGUAGAUAAAAUCACCUUCUGUCCAAUUACUCCAAUUUGGCAUACCCCAUAGCACAAAGUGAAGUUGGCCGUGUCCGUAUAGGUCUUUUUCCUAAAGAAUAGCAAAGAAAUCAAAACUUGAUAAUGUAUAAAUAGUGAACAUCAAUAUUCCAUAAUGAAAGAAAAUAAUUCAUCACAGGAUAAAAAGUAAAGUCAAAUAAAUUGCCUCCAAAUUGAUAAUAACUAUAGUAUCUUUCGACAAAAUAUGGGAUUAUCCCAAGAAUAUAUCUUGAUUUGCUAAUAUCUUUGCUGAGACUUUAUUGUAAUACUUCUACAGUAUUCGUGUGGAAUCAAGAAGCCCUUUCAUCAGGUAACUCAAUUUUCUGGAAAUUAAGUUAGCCUCAUCUUGGUCCUUGAAAACGCAGUUCCUCAUAUGCAUGUAAAUGCACAUAUAUUGGAACAAAAAACCAUGUCAAAGAAGGCAGGGAUUUGGUAACCUAAAUUAAAUGUCCUCUUAACAUAACUAAUAUCUCGACAUGAUUCUCACUGUGCAGUAAUGACCAAAUGAAUCUGAAUAAUAAAUUGGUCAAUUAAACAGCAGGUUAAAGAAGCUUGAAAAUAGUCCAUUUUCAUGUUAAAAAAAAAGUGUUUCGACCCGGUAAAUAGCUGGAAAACACUUGUGUGCUUGAAUAUGCUCAUCUUUCUUAGAGUUCAAAAAUAUCAUUGGAAAUGAUACCUCUAUGACCUAGAAUAGUACCUUUGCUGCUCCUUGACAAGUUUCAGAGCUAGGUCUUCUGCUGGCCCAAUGGUCCUGCCCUUCUGUACGGGAAAUAUAGUCUGAUCAAACUCCUCUGGAGCUCCCUCAAAUGGAGAUAUCUGCAGAUACAACAUACAAAAAUCAAGCACUCAUAAGAGAAGCACUUGGACUGAACAUAUAUCAUAGUAAUACCGAGGCUGUUUGCUUUGUUUUAUUUAUUUAUUUUUCUGUUUGAAUUCUGAAUUUGAUUCAUUUUCAGGCUUUUUGAUUAAUUUUAAAAAACUUAUAUCUGAAAAGGAAAAAAAGUUAUUCUGAUAAUAAUAAUUUUUUCUUCUUCUUUUUUGUCUUUUUGGGGAAAAGAUAUCAUAACCAUUUAAACUAAGGCAAAAACAUAAUAUGUUUAUACAAAUUUCAUUUUUUAAUAUGUAUGGCGACUACUUGACUUCCAACGCACCGGAAUUACCCAUUAUUGAUUGAGAGCGAUAGCGCUGGACUUGGAAAAGUCUUCCGUCCACGGCGGGACCCACAGAAGUUAGAAACGUUGAAGACUUAAUGAUCGCAAGUAAUGAGCUUGGAAAUUUCUUGCAGAAAAGUGAGAUCAGAUAUGGCUAAUCAAGGGACAUUUAAUUAUUAAUUAAAAUUUAUAAAUAGCAAGCGAUAUUGAUAACAUUCUCAGACACAAUUAAUCCUUCUCUAAAUAUAAUUUCUAUUCACAUUUUCACAGCAAUGAAACCUAACACGAGUGCUUUUGUUGCCCUUGCUUUGCUUGAGUUAUUUGCUAUAGCCACCAUGAUCAACAUUAGCCUCUGCAAUGGUACCUCUUGCAUAGAGAGUGAGAGAGAAGCGCUUUUAAAGUUGAAGCAUGAUCUCAGAGAUCCUUCAAAUCGCCUUGCCUCUUGGAUUGUUGAUAAUGGAGAUUGCUGUAAAUGGGGCGGUGUCUUUUGUAGCAACUUCACUGGCCAUGUCCUUGAGCUCAACCUCCAAAAUCCUUUCAGUCCUGAUGAAAAUGAAGCUUACCAGAGGUCGAAGCUGGUUGGUAAGAUAAAUCCCUCUUUGCUUGAAUUAAAGCAUUUGGUUCACCUGGACUUGAGUGGUAAUGAUUUUCAGGGAAUUCAAAUUCCAAAGUAUCUUGCUUCUCUUGUGAACCUAAGAUACCUCAAUCUUUCUGAAGCAAAUUUCACAGGAAUGAUUCCUCACCAACUUGGAAAUCUCUCAAAUCUGCAAUAUCUUGAUCUUACAGGGUAUUGGUUUGAGUUGCACGUUGACAGUUUUUCAUGGUUAUCCGGUCUUUCAUUGCUAGAGCACCUCUACAUGAGUUUUGUGAACCUCAGUAAAGCCUCUGAUUGGUUACUGUCAAUAAACUCACUCUCUUCUUUAAAAGAAUUGAAGUUAUCCUACUGCCGAGUCUAUCACCUUCCUCCGUUAUCCUCUGCUAAUAUUUCCUCCCUUAAUGCCCUUGAUCUUUCCGGAAACUAUUUUAAUGACACUUACAUUCCUAGCUGGGUUUUUGGUCUAAGUCAUUUAGUCUUUCUUGAUUUAGGCUCUAAUAAAUUUGCUGGUCAAAUCCCCAGUGGACUAGGAAACUUGACCUCUCUUGGACAUCUUGAUUUAUCUUUAAAUCAAUUCAAUUCUACAAAACCCGGCUGGUUGUCUAAGCUUAAUGGGCUUAAGUAUCUUUCUCUUCGUGGUAAUAGUUUUCAAGGUACGAUUUCAUCAAUUGGACUAGAAAACUUGACUUCUAUCAAAACACUCGACAUUGCUUUCAAUGAACAACUUGGAGGGAAAAUUCCAAAUUCAUUUGCAAGAUUUUGUAAGCUGAGAGUAAUUGAUGUCUCAUAUGUCAACUUGAGUCAAGAUAUCUCACAAGUCUUAGAUAUUUUCUCUGCAUGUGUUGCUGAUGCACUAGAGUCACUGUUUUUACGAAGAAGCCAAUUUUAUGGUCACUUGACAAAUCAACUAGGGCGAUUUAAAAAUCUCCGAGCUCUCGAUCUUUCCAAUAACACGGUGAACGGUCCUAUUCCGUUAUCUUUGGGGCAAAUCGCAAAUUUGGAAUCUCUAGAUUUGUCCAACAACAAGUUGAAUGGAACUGUUUCUGAAAUCCACUUUCUCAAUUUAACAAAACUGCUUGUGUUUUGUGCUCAUGGAAACUUGCUAGUCUUCAAAAUCAAUCCUAAUUGGGUUCCUCCAUUUCAACUCGCAUUUUUGGAGUUGAGAUCAUGUCAUUUAGGGCCUCGAUUUCCUUUGUGGCUUCAAUCACAAAAGAAAUUAUAUUAUUUGGAUAUAUCCAGCACAAGAAUCUCAGCCAAAAUUCCUCGUGGGUUUUGGAAUUCUAUUUUCCAGUAUGAUUAUUUAAAUGUCUCUGGUAACCAAAUCUAUGGUGGGGUUCCAAAGUUUGACAGUCCAUCAGUGCCUCUUAUUACCACACCAUCCUUGUUGGGUUCAAUAUUCGAUCUUUCCAAUAAUGCUUUAUCGGGAUCCAUUUUCCAUCUCAUAUGUCAGGGGGAGAAUUUCUCAAAGAACAUUGAAUUUCUCAAACUCUCCAAAAAUCAUUUUUCCGAAGACAUCCCUGAUUGUUGGAUGAAUUGGCCGAGGUUGCGUAUGUUGAACUUAGGCAACAACAACUUCACCGGUAGCCUUCCGAUGUCUAUUGGAGCUUUAAAUUCUCUUAUGUCUUUGAACCUCCGAAAUAAUAGAUUGUCUGGAAUAAUACCAACGUCGUUUAGAAAUUUAUCAAUUUUGAAAGCACUUGACAUGGGUGAAAAUGAACUUGUCGGCAAUAUUCCUACAUGGAUAGGAGAAACAUUUUCCAGAUUGAUGAUUCUCAAUCUUCGAUCAAACAAGUUUCACGGAGAUUUCCCCAUUCAACUUUGUCGUCUAGCUUCUCUACAAAUUUUAGAUGUGGCUUAUAACAGUCUCUCAGGGACCAUACCAAGAUGCAUCAACAACUUCUCUGCUAUGGCGACAACGGACUCAUCUGAUCCGAACAGCGGUAUAUUCUAUGCCUCAUCGGGGGACAACGAAAUUGUUGAGGAUGCAUUGCUUGUGACGAAAGGGUUUUUGGUUGAAUAUAAUUCCAUUCUUAAUUUGGUGAGAAGCAUUGACAUUUCCAAGAAUAAUUUCUCUGGAGAAAUACCUGUAGAAGUGACGAACCUUCAAGGAUUGCAAUCAUUGAAUUUGUCGCUGCUGUACGGCCAAGGCGGAUGUACGGUACAGCAGCAAACUUGUCAUUUCUGAAUUACCUGAACCUAUCCAACAAUAACUUGAAUGGAGAAAUUCCUUCAAGCACUCAAUUGCAAAGCUUUGGUGCAUCGUCUUUUGCCGGCAAUGACCUAUGCGGAGCUCCACUUUCAAAUUGCACUGAGAAGAAUAUUUUGAUACCUGAAGAUGAAAAUGGAAGUGGAAACGAAGAUGAUGAUGAAGAUGGAGUGGACUGGUUGUUGUAUAUAAGCAUGGCACUUGGAUUUGUGGUGGGAUUUUGGUGUUUCAUUGGCCCUUUACUUAUCAAAAGAAGAUGGAGGUACAAGUACUGUCAUUUCUUGGAUCGCCUUUGGGAUGGCUGCUUUGUAAGAAAAUGCUACCAGAUCUUUCAUGUUUGCACGUGUGUUUUCUAUGUACUUAAUCAAUAAAUGAUGCAUUACAAUAAAAUAAGGAAACUUUUUCUUGUGAUUGAAGAGGGAAUUUAAACAGAUGCCAGAUUUCUUUCAAAAGGCAAAAGUAGGAGUUUGUCUUACAGCUGAAGGUAAUAAUACCAAUCACCAUGUCUGCAAAGAAUCAUUUAAAGGUUUCUUCUAAAUUGUGUAGAAUAGUUGACAAAAUUAUUCAAAGACACGCCAAUAAGAAAAUUUUCAACAGUUAGUCAAUAUAUAACUAAACUAGAUUCAAAGUAAAAGCACUCAAUCUUGCAUCAAACAAAACAUUCCAAUAAAUGCAUGAUUUUAUAACAAAUUUCAUAAUACUAAUAUCUGAAUGAAUCUUUAGAUUUGUUACAACUCACAACAUUCCAUCACAACAUUUAUCAAUGAAAUCAAUAACAAUGUUAUUGGUUCUUUGAGAAGUCAAUGAACUCUGGCUCAAAGAGAAAAGAGUCAACUGGUAAAAUGAAUUACUUUUGGUACAUGGUUGCUAUGUCAUCUAUAUUCGUGAAAUUAACAUCAUGACAUGGCCGUAUUGGCUCAACAGCCUCCUGAAGAUUCACAUAAAAUUAUUUUCAGUUGAAAGCAUAAAUUUUAUGAAAAAAUGCUAAGUAAGAAAAAACGUAAGAGAAUUUUAUUGGCAAAAAUGACAUUUAUUUUCUUUCUUCAUUUGGAAUUCAUCAAUAGCAUAGAUAGAGUCACCUUCUGUCCAAUUACUCCAAUUUGGCAUACCUCACAGCGUAAGGUGAAGUUGGCAGUGUCACUAUAUCUCCUUUUCCUAAGGAAUAGUAAAAAAAUCAAAACUCGAUAAUGUAUAAAAGUAAACAUCAAUAUUCUAUAAUGAAAGAAAAUAAUUCAUCACAGGAUAACAAGUAAAGACAAAUAAAUUGCCUCCAAAUCAAUAACAAGUAACUCAAUUUUCUGGAAAUUCGGUUAACCGCAACUUGAUCUUUGAAAAUGCAGUAACUGAUAUGCAUGUACAUGCACAUAUGUUGGAAGAAAAAACAUGUCAAAGGCGGGGAUUUGGUAACCUCAAUUAAAUUUCCUCAUAACAUAGCUAAUAUCUCGACGUGAUUCUCACCAUGCACUAAUGACCAAAUGAAUCUGAAUGAUAAAAUUGGUCAAUUAAACAGCAGGUAAAAAAUAGUCCAUUAUCAUUUCAAAAGUCCUAAUUUCCAGCCUGUAAAUAGCUGGAAAACAAUUGUGUGUUUGAGCAUGGUACCUUUCUUAUUUGAGUACGAAAAUAUCAAACAUUUAUCACAGGAAACAAUACAUCUAUGAACGAGACUACUACCCUUGUUGCUCUUUAACAAGUUUCAAAAGCUAGCUCUUCUGCUGGCCCAAUGGUCCUGUCCUUUCGUACGGGAACUGAACUCUGAUCAAACUCCACUGGAGCACCCUCAAAUGCAGAUAUCUGCAGAUACAACAUAAAGAAAUCAAGCACUCAUAAGUUGAAUAGAAACUCAAGACAGCACAAGAAUUAAGAGGAGCACCGAUAGAGGGGAAAAAACUUGUGAAAACAUGAACCGGCGUGAAAGAUUAAUUAGCAUCACUCAAUAGGAAAAGGAUAAAGCAAGCUCAGGGAACUUUUUCUUAAAAGCAAGUUCUAAAACUUUUUUGCAUGUGCAGCCUUGAGGCAUGGGAUUUUUAAAAUCUUCUGAUUUAACAACCAGCAGAGCGAUCUAAAAGAAAAAUAAUUAUAGGAAAUUGAUCAUUAAACAUCAUACAGCUACAGCAUCAUAAUGAAGCUCGUCAUAGAUGAGCAUAACUCUUUCAGAAUACUUCUUUUCCUGGAAAUGAGAACACUGGAAAAAGGAACAUUCAGUAAUGCUGAACUCGCUAGAAUCUCAUGCACAAAGGAUUCAAGAAAACUACUAACCUGGCCAUACAAAUCACAUCUUGUGGUCUGAAUAUCAUAUGCUGCAAUUUCACGUCCAUAAUAAUCUGCUAAUAUCGAAAGCUCAAUGGCACCUUCAAAUCAAACAUAAAGUAAAAGCAAACACAAUAAGUCAGUGAAUAACCUAAACAACAAUGUGACCCAACAUAUAUACAGGGAGCAAGCGGAUAAAGGAAUAACUAUGGCAGAGGUAGAUGCUGCUCAUAUAUACUACACUUGAAAAGCCAGUGGUUGCAAGAUGAUUCCUUAGUUUCAUAUAGACAAAUUUAGACCCAUGUUCUUGUAACUGUCUAGCAGAUACAAAAGCAUGCUUAUUUAGGGAAAAAAAGAAGUUCACCGCAC